Molecule: ribosomal RNA, 441 nt
Filed under: Triticum aestivum (bread wheat)
Lineage: Eukaryota; Viridiplantae; Streptophyta; Magnoliopsida; Poales; Poaceae
Description: partial small subunit ribosomal RNA
Source: RNAcentral
AUGUUCAGCGCUGCCACUACAAUAUCACUUGGCAAUGGACAGACCGCACGGUUUUGGACUGACAAUUGGCUGCCAAAUGGGAGAUUGAUUGCGGCCUCUACGCCAACUCUGUUCUCCUAUGUCAGAGACUCUGGCAUGUCGGUCAGCGAAGCCUUGCAAGGGCAGUGCUGGGUCAGACAUAUCGCGGGCGGCAUCUCCGUGCAGGCGCUCGCACAGUAUCUCACCAUCUGGGAUACCACUCACGCCACGAACCUGACUUCUGGGGUGACUGAUCGGGCUCUUUGGAGGCUCUCGAAGAACCGGCAAUUCUCUGUUAGUAGUGCAUACAGUUUAUUCUUCAUGGCUAACGAGCGUUUCGCCUGCAACAAGCCAAUCUGGAAGUCUAUGCCCCCUCACGGUGCAAGUUUUUCAUGUGGCUUGUGGUGCAUGGCAAAUGCCUGA